UGGGGAAUAUUGGACAAUGGGCGAAAGCCUGAUCCAGCCAUGCCGCGUGAGUGAUGAAGGCCUUAGGGUUGUAAAGCUCUUUCAGUGGGGAAGAUAAUGACGGUACCCACAGAAGAAGCCCCGGCUAACUUCGUGCCAGCAGCCGCGGUAAUACGAAGGGGGCUAGCGUUGUUCGGAUUUACUGGGCGUAAAGCGCACGUAGGCGGAUCGUUAAGUCGGGGGUGAAAUCCUGGAGCUCAACUCCAGAACUGCCUUCGAUACUGGCGAUCUUGAGUCCGGAAGAGGUGAGUGGAACUCCUAGUGUAGAGGUGGAAUUCGUAGAUAUUAGGAAGAACACCAGUGGCGAAGGCGGCUCACUGGUCCGGUACUGACGCUGAGGUGCGAAAGCGUGGGGAGCAAACA
This 402-nucleotide ribosomal RNA is filed under the name uncultured bacterium. RNAcentral's name for it is "bacterial SSU rRNA". It matches the Rfam family "Bacterial small subunit ribosomal RNA", at positions 355 to 774 of the family's 1533-position model. The record is from RNAcentral. RNAcentral also lists the same sequence under 1 other name.